CUUGGUCAUUUAGAGGAAGUAAAAGUCGUAACAAGGUUUCCGUAGGUGAACCUGCGGAAGGAUCAUUCAUAAUAAGUGUUUUAUGGCACUUUUUAAAUCCAUAUCCACCUUGUGUGCAAUGUUAAGAGGAACAACUAGAGAGAUCGUAAAAAAAUCUCUGUUCUUGUUCUUUUUCUAUAACAAACUCAUUUUUUUAACAUAUCGUCUGAAAACUAUUAUGAAUACUUAAUUCAAAAUACAACUUUCAACAACGGAUCUCUUGGCUCUCGCAUCGAUGAAGAACGCAGCGAAAUGCGAUACGUAAUGUGAAUUGCAGAAUUCAGUGAAUCAUCGAAUCUUUGAACGCAUAUUGCACUCUUUGGUAUUCCGAAGAGUAUGCUUGUUUGAGUAUCAGUAAACACCUCACAACCAAUUUUCUUUUUAAGAAUCUUGGAAGUGGACUUGAGUGAUCCGUACUCUCUCUCGAGAGGGGCCGGUUACUUGAAAUGCAGGUGCAGCUGGACUUACAACUGAGCUAUAAGCAUAUCUAUUUAGUCUCGUAAAACAGAUUAUUCAUUUUGCUAAAGCUACUCUAAAGUUGUAUUUCCAUAUGGCUGACUGAUGCAGGAUUCACAGAGUGGACGUCAAAAACCCAUUUUGUAAACUCGAUCUCAAAUCAAGCAAGACUACCCGCUGAACUUAAGCAUAUCAAUAAGCGGAGGA
RNAcentral lists this ribosomal RNA (702 nucleotides) under uncultured fungus. RNAcentral describes it as "eukaryotic LSU rRNA". The stretch from base 240 to 393 matches the Rfam family "5.8S ribosomal RNA". Lineage: Eukaryota; Fungi. The record is from RNAcentral.